Long non-coding RNA from Hyla sarda, 1671 nucleotides. RefSeq lists it as uncharacterized. Lineage: Eukaryota; Metazoa; Chordata; Amphibia; Anura; Hylidae. The transcript is spliced from 4 exons. The record is from RefSeq and is a predicted model, not a curated record.
CUAAGUCUCCCCAAGGGGAUUGUGUAUAACUAAUGGUUGUGGUGUUCCUAUACCAUAUUGUAGGGAAUGUUGUGUAUUCGGUCACGUAGGCUUCGUCCAAAGGUCCGUUAGGAUUUCGGGCAAACAAAAAAGUACAGACGGAAUAAUCGCUGUUAUUGCUGGGAAACUAAGUGAACCCUCAUAGACGCCAUCACAGUACACAAGCAGUUUUCAGAUGCCGCUCAAGGUCCUCAAGGUGAAUGCUAUUGAGGCGGCACACAAAAAUUCAGCAUCGGUAUCCCGGUAUGCCCUACAUUCUAGACAUGCACGGGGCAUGGGUCAGGCACUUUGAAUAAGAAAACGCAUCAAAACGGCACAUAAAGUGAAAGGACCAGGUGCAAUGAUCAAAUGUCCCCCGCCCACCCUCAGCUAGAAGAUUAAUUGGAGAUGUAGGCAGCAGUACAGAAUCACAUAGUAUUGAGCCAAACCCAUGCCUGCCACAUCAGCUAAAACAGUUUUACAGAAAAUCCUGUUUUCUCUGCGAGUACCCUAAUUGACGUGACGUGAUCUGCCUUGUCUAUUACCUGUAAGCAUCUUACCUGAGGAAGGGUCCUGUUCGGACCAGAAACGCAUUGUUUUAGUGCAAUAAAAUCCUUUUUUGGACAUUAACUGUGUACAAAUUCCUACUCUGGUGAACCAGCGCCCGGAAAAAGCUCGAAAUUGUUUGCUUGAAUUGCCUUUCUGAGCAGUGGAUGUCAUAAGGAGUGAGCAGCAGAACAGAGCGAUUAGUGAGCCAAAUACAGAAGAUAGACACAUAUAAAAGACAUCUGCAUGACCUAGUGAGUAACACACUGAAUGGGAUAUGAACUUCCUGAUAACUAGUGUCUACAUACGACAGAUACCUUGGGGAAAUAUAGUGAUCUCCAACCACCAUUUCUGUCUCACAAUAUGUUGAAUAUCAAAAAUUUGUACAAAAAUUUGGAAUUACAAUGAUGUUUCAUGUCUUUAUUUUAAUCAAAAAGAAAUAUUAUUAAUUAUUGUAUUUGUGAUGUCCCGGUACUGUAUUUCAUACUGUACCUUGUGUGCUGGGUCCCCAAAGUCAGAGUUCCUUAGUACCGUUGGGGUCCGCUUGCUGAGAUAAUCCCUAGUCACCUCUUCGUUCCUUAAUUUUAUGUGUUACAUGUAUAUAAUUAGUGCAAAUGCAUUUAUCUAUAUAGUGUCUGCAGGACCUUAGGUCACAUGACUAAUGUUUCUACUGUGAUGGUAUGCUAAAGGCCCUUCCAGGUCACGUGAGUAGUCACAUGUUCUACCAUAAUCCUUUGUGUAAAGGACUGACAGUUGGGAUGAACCAAUCAGCUCAAGGCCAGCCCCUGCCCAUAUAAGGGAGCUGCCAACCAAUCCUCGCUCUCUUGGGUUCCGGACUAGCAGAGAGAGGAGAUCCGUGCGACUUUCAAGACAAAACCAGGCCUGAAGCCUAACAAUGCCGCAACUUACUAACCGUGAGUUACUAAAUCAAAUCCCCGCUAAAGCUAGCGUGACUGCUGGUCCUAAAACCAAUCCCCUAAAUCCAGCGGAACAGCGUAAAUUAAUUUCCAGAGCUUAUACUUACAAGGUCCCAACCAACUGUCAGGAUCCUCAUAGACUGUUCAUAUGUAAAGACUGUUCCUGUUUUACCUCUGUAUAAAAUCUGCA